GUCCACGCAGUAAACGAUGGACGCUAGCUUUCCGGGGGGAACGACCCCUGGGAGGCACAGCGAAAGCGUUAAGCGUCCCACCUGGGGAGUACGCCGGCAACGGUGAAACUCAAAGGAAUUGACGGGGGCCCGCACAAGCGGAGGAACAUGUGGUUUAAUUCGAUGAUACGCGAGGAACCUUACCCGGGCUCAAACGGCGGAGGAAAGUUUUUGAAAGGAGGCUGCCCUACGGGGCCUCCGCCGAGGUGCUGCAUGGUUGUCGU
RNAcentral lists this ribosomal RNA (263 nucleotides) under uncultured bacterium. Its description in RNAcentral is "partial 16S ribosomal RNA". It matches the Rfam family "Bacterial small subunit ribosomal RNA", at positions 793 to 1055 of the family's 1533-position model. The record is from RNAcentral.